This is a long non-coding RNA of Empidonax traillii (willow flycatcher), 169 nucleotides long. RefSeq lists it as uncharacterized. The record is from RefSeq and is a predicted model, not a curated record. NCBI's taxonomy places the organism in Eukaryota, Metazoa, Chordata, Aves, Passeriformes, Tyrannidae. The transcript is spliced from 3 exons.
CAGAGGAUCUUCCAACACACCCCUUCUUGGAGUGUGUGCGGAGAUUCCUCCCUGGAGUGGGGACACCCCUCAAGGUCGCUCCUCAAGGCUGAGCCAAAGAGAUUUGCCCAUGGUCAUUGGUCUGGGUGAGUAACAUCAACCUCUAUUUAAUAAUUGGUUUGGGUUAAAU